This is a long non-coding RNA of Ananas comosus (pineapple), 830 nucleotides long. RefSeq lists it as uncharacterized. The transcript has 3 exons. The record is from RefSeq and is a predicted model, not a curated record. NCBI's taxonomy places the organism in Eukaryota, Viridiplantae, Streptophyta, Magnoliopsida, Poales, Bromeliaceae.
UCUCUCACCCUCUUUUUUUUUUAUCUUCUUCUCCUUCUCUCUCUAGAGGACUUGGGUUGAGAGCUUUGGGAGGGGAAUUAAAAGAGAAGUUGAAUGGAAACUUGGUGGAAUUGGAGAAGAUGUAGCUCCAGCCCAUGAGGAGCUCAAGUGGCCAUGAGUCAAAGUGGGUUAUCUUGUAAUUUCUGGUUGGGGCUUGAUGUAAAUCUCCUUUAGUACUUGUUUUUGAGGUUCUUAUGUGGUUUUCUUGAUUGGUUGAGCUUGUAGCUGCCAUGAAAAUCAUAGAAAAAGCUUUAUGUAUCAUGUGUGAAGGUUGGCAGAUGGGAAGUAGCUUGCUGAAAUUUGACAACCUGAGGAUUGAGGUUCUCGCUUGGAAAUGAUCGUGUAUAAACCUAAUUGGGGGUAAAGCGAACGCGUUGGUGAAGUCGGUUCAGCAAUCCGUCGAGCCUACGCGAAGAUAUCGCCAAAAGGACGUUUUCGGCAUCAAUUGUCGCGAGCGCGGAUCGCGAUUCUUGGGAGAGUGCGGGAAGUGGAUUUCUCGCGUUCCGGUAUCAAGUAAAGGUUCGUACGUGAGCGGCGCGGCGGCACGAGGAUAGGGCGUAGCUCCAUAGAUAGCGCCCUACCACUGAGACCGAGAUAGCAAUACCCUGAAGAGGUCUAGCUCAGUUCAGAUUAAAAGAAUCAAAUUUGUAGUAAAUUGUAUAAGUUGUAAUUUGUAAAAAGGCUUAUGUAAUAACUUAAAGGUAUUUGUGAUAUUGUAAAUUGUAAUAAAUCUCUGAGAUGAAUGCAUGUAAUAGCAUAGUUAGCAUUUUAUGUUUUUGAUACUUAUGCAA